Carcharodon carcharias (great white shark) is the source of this 484-nucleotide long non-coding RNA. RefSeq lists it as uncharacterized. The transcript has 3 exons. Lineage: Eukaryota; Metazoa; Chordata; Chondrichthyes; Lamniformes; Lamnidae. The record is from RefSeq and is a predicted model, not a curated record.
ACUGUCCCUGAGGUUCUCGGCAGAAGGCAAGUGACUGUUUUGGCUGCUCCUAACAGUUUAAGUGUCUUUAAAAUUCAAGCUGCCUUAAGGAGAACGCAUCAUGUGCCAAUGAAAGCAGGGGAAGCAUCAAUAACGGAUCUCAGGUCUCCACCACCCCCCUUUGAUACAUACAAAUAUACCAAACCUUGGAGCUUGUGGCAGAUGGAGAAGAGGAAAAGUUAGAAUCAGCAAGGGACUUCAAGCAUUAGCCUUUCCCAGCACUCAAUGAAACAAUCCCAUAAGUAAUAGAAGGCUAAGAGCGGCGUAGAGGAGAAAUAUUUUCACCUAGAGGGUGGUGGGAGGCCGGAACUCACUGUCUGAAAGGGUGGUUGAGUCAGAAACUCUUGUAACAUUUAAGGAGUAUUUAGAUAUUCACCUGCGUUGUCAUAGCUUCCAGGGCUAUGGGCCAAGCGCUGGGAAAUGGGAUUAGUGUAGUCAGAUCUUU